UGGGGAAUAUUGCACAAUGGGGGAAACCCUGAUGCAGCGACGCCGCGUGAGCGAAGAAGGUUUUCGAAUCGUAAAGCUCUGUCCUAUGGGAAGAUAAUGACGGUACCAUAGGAGGAAGCGCCGGCUAACUACGUGCCAGCAGCCGCGGUAAUACGUAGGGGGCAAGCGUUGUCCGGAAUCACGGGGCGUAAAGGGUUGGCAGGGGGAAAUGGAAGUCAGUUGUGAAAGGCAGAGGCUCAACCUCUGUAAGCAAUUGAAACUGUAUUUCUUGAGAUGUGGAGAGGCAAGUGGAAUUCCUAGUGUAGCGGUGAAAUGCGUAGAUAUUGGGAAGAAUACCGGUGGCGAAGGCGACUUGCUGGACAGAAACUGACGCUGAGGAACGAAAGCGUGGGUAGCAAACAGG
RNAcentral lists this ribosomal RNA (403 nucleotides) under Fusobacteriota bacterium. RNAcentral's name for it is "Fusobacteria bacterium partial 16S ribosomal RNA". It matches the Rfam family "Bacterial small subunit ribosomal RNA", at positions 355 to 776 of the family's 1533-position model. The record is from RNAcentral. Lineage: Bacteria; Fusobacteriati; Fusobacteriota.